Molecule: long non-coding RNA, 1928 nt
Filed under: Piliocolobus tephrosceles (Ugandan red Colobus)
Lineage: Eukaryota; Metazoa; Chordata; Mammalia; Primates; Cercopithecidae
Description: lncRNA (ENSPTEG00000002813.1)
Source: RNAcentral
AAAAAAGCAAAAAUAAUGUUUAUAAUAUGCAUGCUUUUAUAUAAAUAAAAUACAUUUAUACGUUAUAUACUAAUAAAACAAGAAACAACAACAAAAUUACUAUUAUCCUAAAAAGAGAAAAAAGAGAAAAAAAAAAAAAAAAAAAAUCAACAACAACAACAACAACAAUGAGCGUUUAUAAUUUUUAUCAAAAUCUAAUCCCCAGCCAAUCGAUAAGAACUGCUUUAUGUUGUGAUAUAAAAGGUAAUGGGAAAAAGUAUUUAAUAUACGCAAAUAAUAAUUCAUUAAAUGUUUGUUCUGUUGAUAAGGAUGGCUAUACAGAUGAUCAUAGUAAACAUUUCAUUUUUUCUGAUAUACUAGAGAUAAGAGAAUAUAAACCACGAAAAUUAAUUGAUACAAAUAAAAAUAAAAAUAUUAAAUCUUAUAUAUUUUUAUUAACAAAAGAAUAUAAAUUAUUAUUAUUAGAAUUUAAUACAAAAUUAAAUGAAUUUAUUACAUUAUCUAAAACAAAUUUACGAGAUGUAAUUGGAUUACAUAUAGAUGAAGAAAUAAUUUUUUUAUUAAAUGAAAAAAAUAGUGCAAUUGUAUUUUAUGCAUAUAAAAAUAUAAUGAAAUAUAUUUUAUUAGACUAUGACGAUUAUUUUAAUUUAAAUCAUUUAUAUACAGUUAGGUUGGAAGAUGGUUAUGUUAUAGACAUAAUAUUUUUAAAUUAUUACGAUGAAGAAAAUGAAGAAAAUGAAGAAAAUGGAGAAAAUGAAGAAAAUGAAGAAAAUGGAGAAAAUGGAGAAAAUGGAGAAAAUAAAGGAAAUGGAGAAAAUGGAGAAAAUAAAGAAAAUAAAAAAAAUAAAGAAAAUAAAAAAAAUAAAGAAAAUAAAAAAAAUAAAGAAAAUAAAGAAAAUAAAAAAAAUAAAGAAAAUAAAAAAAAUAAAGAAAAAUAUGGAGCAGAUUAUUGUUUAUGUAAUAACAGUAAUGUUAAUGUUAGUAGUGGAAAUUAUAUGUACAAUGGUCAUAUGUAUUAUCCUAGUAACGAGUUGGAUGUUAAGGAAAGUACAAAAAAACAAAAAAAUAAAAAAUCACAUUCUUUUAUUAAUUCACCAAUGAAUAAUAAUAAUAAUAAAAAUUAUCCUAUUUGUAUUGAUGACAAUAAUAAUGCAAGUUCUAUUGUAAAUAAAAAAAAUAUUAACAAUAAUAACAAUAAUAAUAACAAUAAUAAUAACAAUAAUAAUAAUAUUAUAUAUAACAAUAUAAAUAAUAAAAAAACGUACGAUUUUGAAAAUAUGCAAAUUGAACAAACAUAUAAUGAUGAUAGUACAUCUAUAAAAAACAUGACUAAAAAUAAAUACGAUAAAUUAAUUAAUGUAAGUAGUAAUAGUGUAAGUAGUAAUAAUGUAAGUAGUAAUAAUGUAAGUAGUAAUAGUUAUGUAAACAAAGACAAAAAUUAUAACCAUAUUAAUACGAUAAACAAUAAAAAUACAUUUAAUGAACAUUCAGUUAUACCUAAAGUAUUUGAAACGCACGAGGAUGAUAUUUUUAAUAUGAUGUUGGAUGGAUAUAAAGAUAAUAAUCCGUAUGAGAAAAAGCAAAAUUUAAAAAAAGAAAAGAAAAAAAUAAAAAAAAUAUUUGAAAAAAAACUAAAAGAACAUUGUGAUAGUAUGUAUUUACAUAACAACAAUACUAAUACUUAUCGUAAUAGUUAUAAAAUAAAUUCAGAAGAAAAAUUUAAAAAUAAGAAAUGGAAUGAAAGUAGUGAAAAUUGUUCUAACAUUUCUUUAUGUUUUUAUAAUUUAAAAAAUAUUUUAUUUGAUGAAAAAAAAUAUGUAAAAAAAAUAUAUUAUGAAAAAAAAAAAUAUAUUAUUAACUAAUAGAAGAAAAGUUAAUAUAUGUCCUAGUCCAAUAAAAUUUAAAAAAUUUGAUAAUAUAUUUUCUGA